RNAcentral lists this long non-coding RNA (1309 nucleotides) under Fukomys damarensis (Damara mole-rat). RNAcentral's name for it is "lncRNA (ENSFDAG00000025705.1)". Lineage: Eukaryota; Metazoa; Chordata; Mammalia; Rodentia; Bathyergidae. The record is from RNAcentral.
AAGCCAGCCAUGGCCCACUGGCUUUUUGAAAGACAACAUUUGUUCCUUUUUAAGGACUGCACGUGUUAAACUUGUUUUGACCCUGCACGGGAGAAACUCGGACAGCCCCGAGGGCCGGGCGAGGGGCGUGGGAGGCGGGAGAGGCGCGCUGGGACCGCUGUGCAGAGUGCGAGCGUCCCGGGCUGCGUGGACCAGGUGUUGAGGCCCGUGUGAACUCUCGUUCCCGUGGAGCGGGUGUUGAGGCCCGUGUGAACCCUCGUUCCCGUGGAGCGGGUGUUGAGGUUACUAUGGUGAUCCUAGCCCAUAAUAGUUCGGCCUUUCCCUUUAAAAGGCCGGUGCUUGCCAGUAAUAAACGUCGCCUUGAUCAGACUCUUGUCUUGGCGUCCUUCCUUUCUCUCUGCCCCAUCUCCACCCCGCUGCUCUUUCAGGUUUGAGGCACUGCGGGACAGUGCUCUGCGUCGCCGGUUCGCGACAUUUGACUAACAAGUAAAAUCUGUUAACAGAUGUUUUAAGUAUGAUCUAAAACUUCCCCCAUAGCUAUGUCUUCUGUUUAUUACUAUUUCCUCAGUCACAGUCAGGCUAAUGCAAAUGUUAAUGUAUUCCUAGAAAUUAAUAAUACAACCACAAGCCUGGAAGCCACUUCAAGGAGUCCUAGUCCAGAUUCCUGCCCAGUCUUCCACCAACUCUGUGCAACCAGAGAAGGAAGUGUUAUCUUGAGAAAUCUAGAACGGUGCCUGGCGUUGCUGAAUGAAUGAAGGAGAGGAGAAGGAAUGAACUCUCUAAAUGUCGGGUGUGUGGUGGCUCAUUUUGUCGAUCUCCUCAAUAAUGUCUCUCACGUGGAUUGUUGUAGAGCUUAAGUGAUGCACGCUGGGUAACCACCAACCUAAUUCUUGGAGGAAAAUGCCAUUUCUUUUUCUUGUAGAGAGUGGAAUUCCAAGUGUGUGGCAUCAGCCUUGGAGAAGGCAUUCGGGAAAUCUGAGGGAAAUUGUUUUUUUAUCAAAGGAGAAGCCAUUAGCGGUGUCAGGAAUGUUAGGUGUCUGCCACGUACAGGAGAAACAUGCAUAACAAUGACAUUGCAUGUGCCGUGAAUUGCCUGUCUCACUAGACUCACAGAGGCAAAAGACCUAUUAAUUGUUACUGAAGUUAAAAUCUAACCGCACUGCUACAUGUAUUAUAUGUAAAAACAAGCCUAUCUCCCCUCCUUCCCGCCCUCCCUUCCCUCUUGUAUGUUUAAUGUAGUCUCACUAUGUUGCCUCAGAACUCCUGGCUUAAUGUCCUUUGUAGCUGAGAUUAAAGGCACACAUCAGCU